UUUAGUUUCAGUGCCAGGCAGUAGUACAAACCUCUCCAGCAUUCAUCCUUUUAUUGACGUUUGUGUCCAAUACCCAAAUCACAUACACAAGUCAAUGGAAUUAAGAUGGAUUAUGUUUGAUUGGAGAAAACUCUCCCUAAAACGGAACCUCAAGUCUCUCUCCCUAUCCUUGUCCUCUAACUGGGACACCUGCAUCUGUAUCACCUCCAACCUCUCCCAGUGCAUUCAAAAUAGGCAACCUGCCAUGAAAAAGUGGUCAUUUGGCCAGAAAUGGAGUGGAAUACAGGUGUUCCCAUGGACGGGGACCUUAAUUCCUCCACCCUCAGUGGCGAACCUCAACCUGACUCCGCCAUAGCUGGGCCCGGCACAUAUAAGAUGCAAGCAAGUGGAACUUCCACUGUCUCACAGCCAAGUGCACAACCAGCAGGAGCUAAAGAGAAGCCUGUUUUGGGUGGAAAGAGCCGGAAGGGGAAAAAGCCCCCAGCCCAUUUGAGAGCCUAUGAGGUUUCCCCCACAUAACCUGAUCUCAUAAGAGAUGAUCCACACAACCACAGCAGCUAUCUGUGGCAGCCUACCUGGCUCAACACUCUCCAUCCAAGCCCUCUUCCUCAGAGCCUAUGGAGGCCCCAACACAUAAAGGCCUGCCAUUUCACCACUCUGUGGAUGAUACCUCACGGAGGACGCACACUGGGGGAUCAGAGCAACAUUCUGUUGAAUCUCUCAGAUCCACUAAAUCAUCUCAUUUAAUGAGAACAGAGGGCCACUCAUCAUACUGGUCAUCUCAGAGCCGUGGGAGCGGAUAGAGUGGAGUCCCAUCAAUAGGAAGUGUAUGGAGACUGUCUCUGAAAUCAGGCACUAAAAUUACUUAAACGUAUAUGUUUACAUGACUUAUUUGAUUUGAUUUCCCACUGUUCUAUAAGUCAGACAGCCACCCAGAGCUUCCUAGGACAAUGUAAACGUCCUGUCACAAACGUGUAUUUGCCUCCCUCUGGUGGUCGGCUUCAUCAUUACAUCAAUUUAUCACUUCACUUCAACGUUACGUCAAACGGGCGGUCCUUACAAACACUUUUUUAUCCAGCUCGACUGCUUCACGGCAAAGACAUGGCAUAGACAUGGGAAAGCAAUCGCUGAAUUUGUCUUGAGCAGGCGGAUCUAAAUACAUCACUUUCAUAGCUCUACGAUAAAGAACGCGACCUACACACUUCCUUAAACGUAAAAUAAGUAGAGGUGAUUUUGUGUGGAAGUCAAACAUUUUGUUUUACGUCGGAAGCAGACACAUCGCAAAUGCUCAGAACGAAAAAAUCGAUCCCGUUACAUAGCCAUUAUCCUACUUGUCUAUAGGAGGGACGCAUGCUGUUUAAAUGGCCCAAAUGUUGAAUUUAGAAGUGAACAGUUUUUGACUCCCUAAUGUCAUGUUUGGUAAAGUAAUAAAGGUGAAAUAUUUUGGGUA
Coregonus clupeaformis (lake whitefish) is the source of this 1450-nucleotide long non-coding RNA. RefSeq lists it as uncharacterized. The record is from RefSeq and is a predicted model, not a curated record. The transcript has 2 exons. NCBI's taxonomy places the organism in Eukaryota, Metazoa, Chordata, Actinopteri, Salmoniformes, Salmonidae.